GGAAGUAAAAGUCGUAACAAGGUUUCCGUAGGUGAACCUGCGGAAGGAUCAUUAUCGUGGGGCCCCGGCCCCGUCGAGAUAACCACCCUUGCCUUUAUGAGUACCCUAGGUUCCCUCCCCCGUACCUCCGGGGAGCGGGAGGGACCGCACCCGUCUCCCUGGCCGGCGCACCCGCCGGCGGGGACCGCGAAAACACGCUGUCACCACCUGUAACCGUCUGAUAAAACAAGCAAAAAGUCAAAACUUUCAACAACGGAUCUCUUGGUUCUGGCAUCGAUGAAGAACGCAGCGAAAUGCGAUAAGUAGUGUGAAUUGCAGAAUUCAGUGAAUCAUCGAAUCUUUGAACGCACAUUGCGCCCUUUGGUAUUCCUUAGGGCAUGCCUGUUCGAGCGUCAUUUAGCAACCUUCAAGCCCCGCUUGGUGUUGGGUGCCUGUCCCGCCCCCGCGCGUGGACUCACCUCAAAUCCAUUGGCGGCCCCCGAGCCGGCCACGAGCGCAGCAGAGACGCGGUCUCGUGCGCCCGGCCGGGAGGCUCCCAGAAGCCACACCCACAAGUUUGACCUCGGAUCAGGUAGGGAUACCCGCUGAACUUAAGCAUAUCAAUAAGCGGAGGA
Molecule: ribosomal RNA, 614 nt
Filed under: Humicola sp. CY172
Lineage: Eukaryota; Fungi; Ascomycota; Sordariomycetes; Sordariales; Chaetomiaceae
Also listed under: 2 other names
Description: eukaryotic LSU rRNA
Rfam family: 5.8S ribosomal RNA (bases 242-395)
Source: RNAcentral